RNAcentral lists this long non-coding RNA (718 nucleotides) under Felis catus (domestic cat). Its description in RNAcentral is "lncRNA (ENSFCAG00000052377.1)". The record is from RNAcentral. Lineage: Eukaryota; Metazoa; Chordata; Mammalia; Carnivora; Felidae.
CGGCGCGGCGGAAAGGCGCGGAAUCCCGGGCGCGCGCUGCCCCGGCUGCUGCUGCGGAAGCUGCUGCGGGCGUCGGGCGGGGGUCCCGGGGCGGGCGUCCCCGUCGGACCGCUGCUGCCCACCCCGCGGACCCGGCUGCGUGGGGCGGGGCGCCGGAGCGGCGGCCGGGCUCGCGUGCGCGGCUGGAGGUUCCUGAGGCCGAAUCUGGUUCCUAGGAAACAUCAAAGGGAGCCUGCACCAGAGGCCUCUCAGGAUGUGCCCGGAAGCCUGCGUCCAUCCACUGUGUGGGACGGAAUGACACCCCCCACGAGUGUGCUGUCUCCGUUGCUGUUUCUGGUGACCGUCGCAGGUAGGAAGCCAGGUGGGGCCCGCGGCCAGUGUGCUGACGGGAGGAAGCACGCCAACGCUGUCCUUCGCCCGACGUGGAAACUACUAGAAUCCUGCGGGGGACCACACGGGCGCUUGCUGUCGCUGGGCCGCCUGUGACCUGGCCUGGUGGGCGGGGGGGGAGGUGCCGCUGCUACCUGGUGAGCUGCCCACCCUCGCUCUGAGAGCUGUGAGCCCCGCAGGGCGGGCCCGUCGGGUCCCCACUCACCUUUGUCCGGAGGCCCGGGUGGCGGCUGCACGGCGGGGAGACGCUGCUGACCGGGGACGCGGCGUCGGGACUCAGGGGGGAGGGACCCCCCCCCCCGAAGAUCUAGGAAAGGACCCCCCUUCC